GGAGGCUGGGUGAGAAUAUCCUUAAUUGCACGGAACACUGCUUCACAGUCGUCGUCCCAAGUGUUGGCCGAUGCUUUCUUCAUUUUCUUCAAGAUUGGAGUUGCUCGUUCGGCCAACUUUGGUAUAAAUUGUGAAAGUGCAGUCAAACGAUCGACGAGUCUCUGAACGUCCUUCACUGUUCGGGGGGUCUGCAUCCCUAGCACCG
Molecule: long non-coding RNA, 205 nt
Filed under: Vigna radiata
Lineage: Eukaryota; Viridiplantae; Streptophyta; Magnoliopsida; Fabales; Fabaceae
Description: long non-coding RNA (VRAD_LNC016133)
Source: RNAcentral